RNAcentral lists this ribosomal RNA (618 nucleotides) under uncultured bacterium. RNAcentral describes it as "bacterial SSU rRNA". It matches the Rfam family "Bacterial small subunit ribosomal RNA", at positions 338 to 950 of the family's 1533-position model. The record is from RNAcentral.
CCUACGGGAGGCAGCAGUGGGGAAUAUUGGACAAUGGGCGGAAGCCUGAUCCAGCCAUGCCGCGUGUGUGAAGAAGGCCUUUUGGUUGUAAAGCACUUUAAGCGAGGAGGAGGCUACUAGUACUAAUACUACUGGAUAGUGGACGUUACUCGCAGAAUAAGCACCGGCUAACUCUGUGCCAGCAGCCGCGGUAAUACAGAGGGUGCGAGCGUUAAUCGGAUUUACUGGGCGUAAAGCGUGCGUAGGCGGCUUUUAAGUCGGAUGUGAAAUCCCCGAGCUUAACUUGGGAAUUGCAUUCGAUACUGGGAAGCUAGAGUAUGGGAGAGGAUGGUAGAAUUCCAGGUGUAGCGGUGAAAUGCGUAGAGAUCUGGAGGAAUACCGAUGGCGAAGGCAGCCAUCUGGCCUAAUACUGACGCUGAGGUACGAAAGCAUGGGGAGCAAACAGGAUUAGAUACCCUGGUAGUCCAUGCCGUAAACGAUGUCUACUAGCCGUUGGGGCCUUUGAGGCUUUAGUGGCGCAGCUAACGCGAUAAGUAGACCGCCUGGGGAUACGGUCGCAAGCUUAAAACUUAAAUGAAUUGACCGGNUGAGAGNGCGAGGACGACGACGAGGGAGGAG